Long non-coding RNA from Arabidopsis thaliana (thale cress), 278 nucleotides. RefSeq annotates it as other RNA. NCBI's taxonomy places the organism in Eukaryota, Viridiplantae, Streptophyta, Magnoliopsida, Brassicales, Brassicaceae. The transcript has a single exon. The record is from RefSeq.
CCACAGCUGAUUUUUGAAGGGCCCAUGAAGAUUCAGAAAAGAUACUUACCUGUUGACUUGAAGACCAAUCGAUCUCCGCUCAAUGGUUUAGUGGCUCUGUAAGUGGGAGAGGGACCCUCAGCCAUGUGCCAUUAUCACUAGUCUUUGAAGCUUUCGGCUAUAGUUAAGAUGCUCAGUGGCCUCCUCCUGCAUUAAGGGUUUGUCCUGCAAUAAAAGUUUUGAUCAUAACAAGACUUAAAGUACAGUUUCUGAAUCGACUGCUCAACUUUUCCCCUGAA